RNAcentral lists this transfer RNA (73 nucleotides) under Neotoma lepida (desert woodrat). It matches the Rfam family "tRNA". From Rfam's summary of the family: Transfer RNA (tRNA) molecules are approximately 80 nucleotides in length. Lineage: Eukaryota; Metazoa; Chordata; Mammalia; Rodentia; Cricetidae. The record is from Rfam by way of RNAcentral.
GGGGAUGUAGCUCAGUUGGUAGAGUGUGUGUCUAGGAGGCAGGAAGACCUGGGUUCAAUCCUCAGCAUCACAG